ACAUGUAUAUGUUUGCCUUUCAUUCUUUAUAGGAUUAUCUACCAGUGGAUUAAGAAGAGUUGCGUGAUUAUGUACAGGCCAGGCUAAAGGUUUUCUAUGAGGAAGAGCUAGACGUUCCUCUUGUUCUCUUUAAUGAAGUCCUUCAUCAUGUCCUUUGUAUUGACAGGAUCUUCAAACAGCAACAGAGUCAUUUGUUGCUUAUUGGUGUCAGUGGAGCUGGAAAGACUACACUGUCUAGGUUUGUGGCUUGGAUCAACGGACUAUUAGUGUUUGAAAUAAAAUGACACAAGAGCCAGUUGGUGAAUCUGAAGAAUGGGAUUUAUUUAAAAUACUAGUGAUUGACAGGGGAGCUACUGUGUCUCAGAUAAACUUGAUGUUGAUGAGAUGUUGCUGGUGAACUUGAAGCCUCUAUAGCAAAAUAUAAAGAAGAAUAUGCAAUGGUUAUAUCUGAUGCUAGUGUUAUUAAGAAUGAUUUAUCAACUGUUGAGAAAAGGGUGAGUUCCAUUGCAGUAUUCCACAUUGCAGUAUUUUCCUAAUGAAAAUCUUGAAAAAUCCUACAUUGUGAACUUUGUAAGAACUAACAUUAUCUUGUUAGCUUAAAAUAUUAUGCGG
Amphimedon queenslandica is the source of this 612-nucleotide long non-coding RNA. RefSeq lists it as uncharacterized. The transcript has 6 exons. Lineage: Eukaryota; Metazoa; Porifera; Demospongiae; Haplosclerida; Niphatidae. The record is from RefSeq and is a predicted model, not a curated record.